Molecule: long non-coding RNA, 579 nt
Filed under: Bos taurus (domestic cattle)
Lineage: Eukaryota; Metazoa; Chordata; Mammalia; Artiodactyla; Bovidae
Description: long non-coding RNA NONBTAT026597
Source: RNAcentral
UUGGAGCAAACUUUUGAUUCUUUGGAUCUUUAAGAAUUAAGAAUCUAAAAAUAAAGAAUUAAGAAUCUAACUUCAUCUUCAAGGUGACUCCCUUAGCAACCCUACCAAUCUAUUGAUUUAUGAUCUCACUCUUUGUUCCCUUCAUCUGCAAACACUCUGAAGCAGGAAGGCAUAAUCACUGCCUACCAUUUCCUCACUACUCACACAUUCCUGAAUGCUUUGCAAACCAGAUUUUAGUUUCAACUUUCUCCUGAAACUGCUUUUAUUGACCUCUAAGUUGCAAAUUUCACUUUCUUUUUUGGUUUCAUUUUCAUCUUACUCCAGUUUGAUGAUAAGUGAUUCUGUUGAUCCAUUGUAUUCCUGAUAUUCUUUCUUUCCAUUAUACUAUACUGCUGCUUCUAAUUCUCAGACUUCAUUCUUCUUUCAUCAGAUCUUCCCCAGAAACCCAUCCUUGGCCUUCUUUUCCUUUCUCUAUCUCUUCUCCCUUGACUAUAUGGUAUAAAAUCUUGACUUCUAUGACUUUUACAUGAUCACCUUUACAUGGACAACUCUCAACAUUUCCCUGCUAAGCUCUAAUCC